RNAcentral lists this ribosomal RNA (303 nucleotides) under uncultured bacterium. RNAcentral describes it as "partial 16S ribosomal RNA". It matches the Rfam family "Bacterial small subunit ribosomal RNA", at positions 507 to 807 of the family's 1533-position model. The record is from RNAcentral.
AGCAGUAGCCACGGGAAUACGGAGGGUGCAAGCGUUAAUCGGAAUUACUGGGCGUAAAGCGCACGCAGGCGGUCUGACAAGUCAGAUGUGAAAUCCCCGGGCUUAACCUGGGAACUGCAUUUGAAACUGUCAGGCUGGAGUCUUGUAGAGGGGGGUGGAAUUCCAGGUGUAGCGGUGAAAUGCGUAGAGAUCUGGAGGAAUACCGGUGGCGAAGGCGGCCCCCUGGACAAAGACUGACGCUCAGGUGCGAAAGCGUGGGGAGCAAACAGGAUUAGAGACCCCUGUAGUCCCUGUCUCUUAUAC